UACGUAGGGCGCAAGCGUUAUCCGGAAUUAUUGGGCGUAAAGAGCUCGUAGGCGGUUUGUCGCGUCUGCUGUGAAAGACCGGGGCUCAACUCCGGUUCUGCAGUGGGUACGGGCAGACUAGAGUGAUGUAGGGGAGACUGGAAUUCCUGGUGUAGCGGUGAAAUGCGCAGAUAUCAGGAGGAACACCGAUGGCGAAGGCAGGUCUCUGGGCAUUAACUGACGCUGAGGAGCGAAAGUGUGGGGAGCGAACAGG
Molecule: ribosomal RNA, 253 nt
Filed under: uncultured bacterium
Lineage: Bacteria
Description: partial 16S ribosomal RNA
Rfam family: Bacterial small subunit ribosomal RNA
Source: RNAcentral